RNAcentral lists this long non-coding RNA (462 nucleotides) under Chrysolophus pictus (golden pheasant). RNAcentral's name for it is "lncRNA (ENSCPIG00010011455.1)". The record is from RNAcentral. Lineage: Eukaryota; Metazoa; Chordata; Aves; Galliformes; Phasianidae.
CACUGGAGCACAUGUUAUUUUCCUUUCUGGUUUGAUUCUAAAUGUUAAAGUUCUAAUAAAAAUAGAAGGAAAACUCUCCUUGGAAUGACUGUGCUGCCGAAGCCACCGUUGGUUUGGAAUUUCCUCAGCCAUCUUAUUCUUGUUUUCAUUACCUUUAGGUCUAUUUAGAUAAGAACAGAUUUGUAUUCUUCUCUUCAUACUGCUUCCUUACCACCUGAAAUCCUCUUCUGCUCUUUGCAGUUCCCAACACAACUGUGAGCAAUAUCCUGAACAGAGCGCUGUAACUUCAGGUGGAGAAAAGCAACAGAAGCAGAUGGGCUUGUAAACAGCAGAGCUGGCUGCCCCACUGAGGGCCGCGCAGAGCAGAGAGGAGCAGAACGCAGGGACACUACUGCAGAUCCCAUGGAUUGCAACAGUCACAGGGAAAGGAGACCUAUGAAAGAUGGCUCCAGGAUGUCUGAG